RNAcentral lists this ribosomal RNA (460 nucleotides) under uncultured bacterium. Its description in RNAcentral is "partial 16S ribosomal RNA". It matches the Rfam family "Bacterial small subunit ribosomal RNA", at positions 338 to 795 of the family's 1533-position model. The record is from RNAcentral.
ACUACGGGGGGCAGCAGUGAGGAAUAUUGGUCAAUGGACGAGAGUCUGAACCAGCCAAGUAGCGUGAAGGAUGACUGCCCUAUGGGUUGUAAACUUCUUUUAUAUGGGAAUAAAAUGUUCCACGUGUGGGAUUUUGUAUGUACCAUAUGAAUAAGAAUCGGCUAAAUCAGUGCCAGAAGCCGCGGUAAUACGGAGGAUCCUAGGGUUAUCCGGAUUUAUUGGGUUUAUAGUGAGCGUAGGUGGAUUGUUAAGUCAGUUGUGAAAGUUUGCGGCUCAACCGUAAAAUUGCAGUUGAAACGGGCAGUCUUGAGUACAGUAGAGGUGGGCGGAAUUCGUAGUGUAGCGGUGAAAUGCUUAGAUAUCACGAAGAACUCCGAUUGCGAAGGCAGUUCACUGGACUGCAACUGACACUGAGGCUCGAAAGUGUGGGUAUCAAACAGGAUUAGAUACCCGAGUAGUC